Notothenia coriiceps (black rockcod) is the source of this 322-nucleotide long non-coding RNA. RefSeq lists it as uncharacterized. NCBI's taxonomy places the organism in Eukaryota, Metazoa, Chordata, Actinopteri, Perciformes, Nototheniidae. The transcript has 3 exons. The record is from RefSeq and is a predicted model, not a curated record.
UCCAGCAUAGUAGGUGGCGGUAAUGCACCUUAAACGUUAGGUGAAACCCGCCAUUAAACAAAAAGAAGAAGAAGAAGUUGCGAUUUCUGCACUUUUGCAGAUGUGAAGGGCGAGGACGAGAGACAUACAACAACUCUUGGAGCAAAGCGACAAAGACUGAGGACACUGAGGGACAGAGGAGACAAUCAUCUUCAGGACAGUGAGAGAGGCAGUGGCAGAGAGAGAGGAAGAUGAGAAGAGCCACCGAGGACCCGAGCACGCUCUGUCUGUUUGACGUUGACGGCACGCUCACAGCCGCGAGACAGCGUGGAACUACACACAU